GGCUCCAUUGCAUAGUGGCAGUGCAUCUGUCUCGUAGUAACAGAAGGUGCGAGUUCGAUUCUCGCUGGAGCCA
Molecule: non-coding RNA, 73 nt
Organism: Heterostelium album PN500
Lineage: Eukaryota; Evosea; Eumycetozoa; Acytosteliales; Acytosteliaceae
Source: the annotation of a RefSeq genome assembly